RNAcentral lists this long non-coding RNA (956 nucleotides) under Helianthus annuus (common sunflower). RNAcentral's name for it is "hypothetical non coding rna". Lineage: Eukaryota; Viridiplantae; Streptophyta; Magnoliopsida; Asterales; Asteraceae. The record is from RNAcentral.
UUUUGAAUAACAAGUUAAAAGAGUAGUAAAAAGUUGGUUAUGACAUUUAAAAUUAACAUAUGCAAUACUUCUAUUUUCUUGGGAGUAUUACUAAUCACAAGUUGAUGAGGAAGGUACAACAAGUAAAAAGAGAAGGGCGGGUAUGUUUAGCAGAACCCUAGGGUGUAUUAUCCUUUUACCAAUUUUAUUUAAAAACUUCUUAAAACAACUUCACAAGUUUUAAACAGUGAAUGUAAAGGGAUUAGAAACAUUUUGAUGUAUCCUCAGGCAAGCUUUAACAAAUUCAUCUUACGUUCAUACUUCGGUCUUCGACCAAUAGUUGUUCUUCACUAAACCCCUAAGAUGGUAGAUCACUAAGGAUGAGGGGGAGUGGGCUUGAGGUGGGAUGUUGCAGUAGUGCACCCUAUGUGUUGCGCAGUAUCGAGUGAGAACACUGCCUCACCCAGUCACCCCCUUUGGUAUCGCCCACAUGUGGUAGAUGCGGGUUUGCUAUGCUGAACGGUGAAGGAUUCUUGUAGGUGAUGUACAACAAGUCGGUUCAAUGUCCCACCCAAAAGGUUGAGGGAUGAGAAAGAUGAAAAUUACCAUGGUUUUAGGGAUGGGUUGGGUACUUGGGUUGGGAUGAAAUGAUAAAAACUGAUGCACUGCUAAUAGAGAGAGUGAGAUGGGAGGGGAGGGGUGGACUUCAUUCAUACUUAUAGAUGGGUGAUUCUAUACAAACCCCUAUAAUCUUAUUUUCACAUUCCUAGUGUAUACAGACCGUAUAAUCUUAUACGGCUCGUAUAGAAUGCUUUUGCAUAGAAAUAAAUGCAGUGGAAUCUUUUUUUUUGUUUUACAUGUAUACGGGUAGUAUAACCUUAUAUGAACCGUAUAGUAUACGAGCAAUAUAAUGUUAUACGGCCAAAUGUAUACGGGCAAGAGAAAUUGGUGGAACCCGAUGUAUACGGGCCGUAAAA